Molecule: transfer RNA, 72 nt
Filed under: Camelus bactrianus (Bactrian camel)
Lineage: Eukaryota; Metazoa; Chordata; Mammalia; Artiodactyla; Camelidae
Also listed under: 3 other names
Rfam family: tRNA
About the family: Transfer RNA (tRNA) molecules are approximately 80 nucleotides in length. Their secondary structure includes four short double-helical elements and three loops (D, anti-codon, and T loops).
Source: Rfam by way of RNAcentral
GGGUAUAUAGCUCAGUGGUAGAGCCUGUACUUAGUAUGUAUGAAACCCUAGGUUCAAUCCCCAGUACAGCUG